UCGCCAGACUCCUACGGGAGGCAGCAGUGGGGAAUAUUGCACAAUGGGGGGAACCCUGAUGCAGCGACGCCGCGUGGGUGAAGGAGCACCUCGGUGCGUAAAGCCCUGUCAGCAGGGAAGAAAAUGACGGUACCUGAAGAAGAAGCCCCGGCUAACUACGUGCCAGCAGCCGCGGUAAUACGUAGGGGGCAAGCGUUAUCCGGAUUUACUGGGUGUAAAGGGGGCGCAGACGGCGAUGCAAGCCAGGAGUGAAAGCCCGGGGCCCAACCCCGGGACUGCUCUUGGAACUGCGUGGCUGGAGUGCAGGAGGGGCAGGCGGAAUUCCUAGUGUAGCGGUGAAAUGCGUAGAUAUUAGGAGGAACACCAGUGGCGAAGGCGGCUUACUGGACGGCAACUGACGUUGAGGCCCGAAAGCGUGGGGAGCAAACAGGAUUAGAUACCCCGGUA
Molecule: ribosomal RNA, 447 nt
Filed under: uncultured bacterium
Lineage: Bacteria
Description: partial 16S ribosomal RNA
Rfam family: Bacterial small subunit ribosomal RNA
Source: RNAcentral